CAGUCGCCGCGGUAAUACGUAGGUGGCAAGCGUUGUCCGGAAUUAUUGGGCGUAAAGGGCUCGCAGGCGGUUUCUUAAGUCUGAUGUGAGAGCCCCCGGCUCAACCGGGGAGGGUCAUUGGAAACUGGGAAACUUGAGUGCAGAAGAGGAGAGUGGAAUUCCACGUGUAGCGGUGAAAUGCGUAGAGAUGUGGAGGAACACCAGUGGCGAAGGCGACUCUCUGGUCUGUAACUGACGCUGAGGAGCGAAAGCGUGGGGAGCGAGCAGGAUUAGAUACCCCGGUAGUCCCUGUCUCUUAUAC
Molecule: ribosomal RNA, 301 nt
Filed under: uncultured bacterium
Lineage: Bacteria
Description: partial 16S ribosomal RNA
Rfam family: Bacterial small subunit ribosomal RNA
Source: RNAcentral